RNAcentral lists this ribosomal RNA (271 nucleotides) under uncultured prokaryote. RNAcentral describes it as "partial 16S ribosomal RNA". It matches the Rfam family "Bacterial small subunit ribosomal RNA", at positions 524 to 794 of the family's 1533-position model. The record is from RNAcentral.
GACGUAGGUGGCAAGCGUUGUCCGGAAUUACUGGGCGUAAAGGGCGCGUAGGCGGACUUUUAAGUCAGGUGUGAAAUUUCCGGGCUCAACCCGGAGUGUGCAUUUGAAACUGAAAGUCUUGAGUGCAGGAGAGGGCAGCGGAAUUCCUAGUGUAGCGGUGAAAUGCGUAGAUAUUAGGAGGAACACCAGUGGCGAAGGCGGCUGCCUGGACUGUAACUGACGCUGAGGCGCGAAAGCGUGGGGAGCAAACAGGAUUAGAUACCCUGGUAGU